GCCCAAGUGGUGAAAUGGUAGACACGCUAGACUCAAAAUCUGGUAGAGGAAACUCUGUGUCGGUUCGAGUCCGACCUUGGGUACCA
This 86-nucleotide transfer RNA is filed under the name Campylobacter corcagiensis. RNAcentral describes it as "tRNA-Leu". It matches the Rfam family "tRNA". Rfam says of the family: Transfer RNA (tRNA) molecules are approximately 80 nucleotides in length. Their secondary structure includes four short double-helical elements and three loops (D, anti-codon, and T loops). Further hydrogen bonds mediate the characteristic L-shaped molecular structure. tRNAs have two regions of fundamental functional importance: the anti-codon, which is responsible for specific mRNA codon recognition, and the 3' end, to which the tRNAs corresponding amino acid is attached (by aminoacyl-tRNA synthetases). tRNAs cope with the degeneracy of the genetic code in two manners: having more than one tRNA (with a specific anti-codon) for a particular amino acid; and 'wobble' base-pairing, i.e. permitting non-standard base-pairing at the 3rd anti-codon position. Lineage: Bacteria; Pseudomonadati; Campylobacterota; Epsilonproteobacteria; Campylobacterales; Campylobacteraceae. The record is from RNAcentral.